UGGGGAAUAUUGCACAAUGGGCGCAAGCCUGAUGCAGCCAUGCCGCGUGUGUGAAGAAGGCCUUCGGGUUGUAAAGCACUUUCAGCGAGGAGGAAGGUGGUGAGCUUAAUACGCUCAUCAAUUGACGUUACUCGCAGAAGAAGCACCGGCUAACUCCGUGCCAGCAGCCGCGGUAAUACGGAGGGUGCAAGCGUUAAUCGGAAUUACUGGGCGUAAAGCGCACGCAGGCGGUUUGUUAAGUCAGAUGUGAAAUCCCCGGGCUCAACCUGGGAACUGCAUUUGAAACUGGCAAGCUAGAGUCUCGUAGAGGGGGUAGAAUUCCAGGUGUAGCGGUGAAAUGCGUAGAGAUCUGGAGGAAUACCGGUGGCGAAGGCGGCCCCCUGGACGAAGACUGACGCUCAGGUGCGAAAGCGUGGGGCAGCAAACAGGAUUAGAUACCCUGGUAGUCCACGCUGUAAACGAUGUCGAUUUUGGAGGUUGUGCCCUUGAGGCGUGGCUUCCGGAGCUAACGCGUUAAAUCGACCGCCUGGGGAGUACGGCCGCAAGGUUAAAACUUAAAGGAAUUGAC
RNAcentral lists this ribosomal RNA (568 nucleotides) under uncultured bacterium. Its description in RNAcentral is "partial 16S ribosomal RNA". It matches the Rfam family "Bacterial small subunit ribosomal RNA", at positions 355 to 914 of the family's 1533-position model. The record is from RNAcentral.